Long non-coding RNA from Felis catus (domestic cat), 4477 nucleotides. RefSeq lists it as uncharacterized. The transcript is spliced from 3 exons. The record is from RefSeq and is a predicted model, not a curated record. NCBI's taxonomy places the organism in Eukaryota, Metazoa, Chordata, Mammalia, Carnivora, Felidae.
CUUUUAGUGACCUUAACUGAAAGCUUUGACCGGAUUUGACGCAGUUGUGGGAGUGGAGAAUUCAGUGACUACGAUGGAGCGAGCCCUUCUCCAGGAGUCAGGAUACUCCUGUGCAAAUCCCGCCUUUGCCCUUAAGAUUUGGAAGGACUUUGGCCAAAGCUGCUCUCUACGGGCUCAGGUUACCCGUUGAGAUACAGCCUGAGAUGUUUUAAAACCACAAAUCCAACGUCCAAACCAGUUUAAGCUGCAGAACGAUUCCUCUGGUGAAAGAUGUCUGAAUGCAAGUGGAGCGAGCCCACGUUCAGCAACAUCACGCCCUGAGUUAACGUGUUCGCCCUAUGCCACCGAAUACGGCUUUCCUCAAACAAAGGUUAGAGGAAACUAUGUUUGCUGCCCAUUCUGCCAUUUGACUGGAUUCCAGAACUCUCCAGGACACGCCCCUUGUCCCCUCACCUACGAUGUUAAUGGGUAGGUUCAGCUUGGCAGCAGAGACGAUGGCUGAGCAGAUGGUGGCAGCUCCUCCCAUGUCAGCCCUCAUGAGGUCCAUAUUUGCAGAGGCCUUGAUGGAAAUGCCGCCACUGUGGGGGGAAAGGACAGCAGCUGUAUCAGUGGCGAAAGAGAGGGCUCACGUCCCUUUAAGAAAGAAUAUAUAAGCUGAGGCAUCAUCUACCUGGCAAAGAAAAUUCAAGUUUCUAAAUUGAGAAUCUGAAUGACUUAACAUUUUAAAAGAUGAUAUCACAGUCUUUAUAAAAACAUAAAUGGGUGUCCUGGCUCAUUUUAUUUCUUGUUGAUUGAAACAUAGCAGUGUCAGUGGAGCCAUUACUAAGUCAUGUAAUCAGUGCUGUUCAAACCCAUCUCUGUAUUAGCUCAUUAGCUCCUGACACCCACAUAGACAUGUCUUUUCAGCAAAUUUUGUGAGUCAGUCAACUUAUUGAACCUGAGGGUCACAAACUGUUAAGAAAAGCCAACAAGCUCAGAAGACUGGGAGGAUCCCUCGCAAGCCACAGAAGGACACAAGGACAAUUCCUUCCGACACCCCUAAGGUGCACUCCAUCCUGCUGAUGGCAAAAUACAACCUGAAUCAGACAGAGGCAUGAGGAAGAUGCUCCCCAGAAGCCUUAAAGACAGUGCUCAAACCCGAGAGCCGAGAUGGGUUUCAGUUGGCAAGAAACCUAAACUACUGCCCCAAACAGGCUUCUCUGACUACCCAGUGACUUUUCUGCUUCCAGUCUGCAAGAGUCCAGAAGCCACAGGCUUUGCAGGCUGGGCCUGGAGCUGGGGCUCGCACUGUGAGUUCUGAGAUGUGCUGCUGACCUGACCUGGCGGUUCCAGAGUCUAUUCCCUGCACUGAGGUCUGCUUUCCUUAGAGAUUAGGUCCUAAUUCUCACUCAUCUCAGAAGCUCUGGAUAAUUAGAUGGCUGUCAAUUACACCUAGAAUUAAAGACGAUCCACUGGCUCAGAAUAAGAAAAGAAAUAACACUGUUGGUCCAAGAAGUCCAGGGAGAACCCCAUGGGGGCAAAGGAAACACACUGGUACAUGAAGUCAUUCUGUCUACUGGCCACAUCCUUCUCAACCUUCCAUUCAUAGGACUACAGUUCAAAGUAACCACCAAAGAGCAGCAGUUCUCACUGCUCACCUGUUAGACUGCUCUCAAAUCCAUCCAUUUCUUUUCUAUUGAAUCCAUUCUGGUGAGGACAUCAUCAUGUCAUGGAGAUGUCUGCCGCAGCUCCUAUACAUUAAGGUCUCCCUAUGUCAAUCUUAUUACCCCCUUCAUUUCAUUACCCACACAAUGACUAUUCUUACCAAAAUACAAAAUAUCUCAACCAACAUCCCAGCAGGCUUUCUGUGUGUGUGUGUGUGUGUGUGUGUGUGUGUGUGUGUGUGUGUGUAAAAAAUCCUAAGUGGAUUCUAAAAUUGAUAUGUAAAUGCAAAUGAUGCAGCCAAAAGAAUUUUGAAAAAGAAGAGCAAAACUGGAGGGUCAUGUUACAACAUUUCAAGACAGAGCUGUACUCAUUAGACACUUGGUUGCAAGGUCCUGGGGAAAUGACAAAGAGGCCAGAGUUAGACCCGUAAUUAUAUGGUCAACUGAUUUAACAACGGUGCAAGGUAGUUCAAUGGAGAAAGGACAGUCUUUCAAAGAGAUAGGUUUGCAACAAAAAGACAUCCAUAUGGAAAGAAAAAAAAAAAAACGCCAUGCUUUUCACAGCAUAUGCAAAAUUUCAAAAUGGAUCAUAGUCUUAAAUGCUAAAACCGUAACACUUAGAAAAGAAAACACAGACCUGGGCAUUGGCAAUAAUUUCUUAAACAGGGUAACAAAAGCAUGAAGUAUAAAAGUAAAAAUUGAUAAAUUACACUUCAUCAAAAUUAAAACUGCUCCUCAAAAGAGGUCACUUAAAAAAAUGAAAAGGCAAGCCUGAGAGUGGGGGAAAAAAAGAUACUUUCAAAUACUGACCACAAAGAGUUUAUUAUCUAGAAUACAACAAUGUAUACAAUGUAUAGUUUUAAAAACUUCUAACUCAGCAUGACCAUCAGUCCUAUAAAAAAAAAAAAAGGCGAAAGAUUUGGACACUUCACUAAAGCUAUACCAACAGCCAAUACUCGCAGUGAGAAUGCUGAACACCGUUAGUCAUUAGGGAACUAAUCACACUCAAAAUGAACCUCCGAGCUAUGCCACACAUCCCCAGGAAGAGCUAGAAUCCAAGAAUGACAGGAUCAGAGGCUGGGGAGGACGCGCCACAGCUGGAUCUGUGUGCAGGAAUGCAAAAUGGCACAACCACUGUGGAGAAGUUCGGUCACUGUGUAUAGUGAAACACGCAGUUACAAUGAAUAUACUUUGGUGUUCCCAUAUAACGGAAUACAGCCCAGUGAUAAAAGGCAACCAAUUACUGAUGUGACCAACAUGAGUGAAUGUCACAGACACGAUGCAGAAAGAAAGAAGGCUUAAAAGAAAAGAAGAAAAGAAGAAAGAAGACUUAAAAGAUCCCAUGAGAAUGAAUUUCUAGAACAAGAAACACUCAUCCACAGCCACACAAAGAUGACUGGUGGCCUGAGGCAGGGGUGGGAAAGGGACACCUGCAAAAUGCACCAGGCCGGUGUCUGGGGUGAUGGAAGGAUUCUGUUUUCACAGGAGCGGGGGCUGGUGCGGGGCUAUGCAUAUUUGUUAAACUCCUCGAACUGAAUACUUCAAGGAUGAAUUUCACUACAUACAUAAAUCCCAUGUCAUUCUUUGCCUUGGCUAGAAAUCCUUCAGUUACUUCAUACUGUUCUUAGAGCCAAGUCCAAAAUGCCACCGGUCCCAGAAGGACCCGGCUCCACCAACCUCUCCAGCCACUGCGUCCUCUUCCCUGUGAGGCUCUGAUGUAGGUGCUCUGUCAGCUCCAGGGGCUCCCUCGUCCUUCCUGCCUUGCAGCCUCCACCGUCCUUCCUUCCCCUGCCCGACUCCCUGCUGCACUACCCUCUCCUUCCCUUCCCAUCUUUAUCUGAGCCUCUCACUCCCACGAGGAAGCUUUCUACUUUACCAAGGUCUCCUUGCUCAAAAUUCUCACAGCAAACACUCAAGUAUGGAAUUGAAUUAAUAAACUUCACACUGAACAUUAACGCUGCAUUGAGAUAUGAGCCCAAGACAAUAUAAAAUCAUCACAAUUGGCAAGACCAUUAAACACAGCACCACUUUUGUGCUCUAAUUUUUCCUUGCCAUAGUGUUUUAGAAUAAACACUUAAGUGACAAUAGCAUAUGAAUGGAACUGAAAAAUCAAUGUGCAUAUUUUGAAUAGUAUGAGCUUGAAUCUUUUACUGAGGAUCGUUUGGAGCCCAAUAAUUCAAAGGAGAGGAGGUGGACCUGUGGGCGGAAGACACAGGAGGCUAACAUCAGGAAGACUCUGCUGGCGGCCAGCUCUGCCCAGGACGGGCGUUACCAUGCCCAGCACACUCCUGUAAGGACACUCUAUUCACGUACCAGAGUCUCUGAAUGGGUGUGCACGUGUACUGGAGACACCCAGAUUUAAUGGACACGUAGCAGCAUUUUCCAAAGUAGUUUCCAGGGACCAUGAGUCCCACGAGAAAUAAAUUCCCACCAAAGGGAAUUUAGAAAAUGCUACAUCCUGUACCCUGAGAAGUCCCGUAGUUAAAACAAAAUAAACGAAAAUCUCACGUGUUUUAUCCACCGCAAUCUUUGGCCAAGCAAUCCUUUUUAACUCUCACACUUAACUGGCAUCUCUGAGCUAGUAUUCAGCAGCCAACGCUUCCUCCGAAAUACCCAUACCAUCUUCGCCACCUCAGUUUCUGCUUGCUUGAAAUAAUCAGUUUCCAAUUCUAAGGAAUACUUAAGGCUUAACAGGAUUAAUGGAAGCCAGGCUGGUCAGCUAAACAAAGCAACGUGAAACAGGGCAGACAGGAGGCUGUAUGAUCCAAACAGCUGCAUCCCUGCAUCCACACGAGGGAUCUUUAACAUCCACACGGAGAAUCAAAGUGUAUGGU